GAAGCUUGAAGGCUCAGUGUUUCAUCUGUGUGCUUCUCUUUUAUUCAAGAGUGCAGCUGAUUGAUUUAUUUUCCUGGAAAUAUAUGUACGGGGCAGAAUACCUUAGCAGAUAAUAUGAUAAUUGCUUAUAUUAAAUAAAUCCUUUGAUUCAUGGAGAGUUAAAAGACCUCAUUAAAAAUUCUCUUUCUGAGUUAGAUUUAGAUGGUCAAAAAAAAAAAAAAGCAUGACAGAUUGGAGAUAAAUCUUUUAAAAUCAGACACUCUUUGUAGUAUGUGAUUUAUGGAUUAUAUUGUGACUGACUUCCUUUUAGUAAGAAUGUCGUGAUAGGAAGCAGUAUAUAACUACUUUCUUUAAUGUAUCAAAUGCCUAAAGGAAGUGAAUAUUAAAUAUAAAGGACACAUGCUCCACAAUGCUGGAGCAACCACAUGCAUUCUUCUUUUGAAAUUCCCUAAGAGAAUACACUUUUGUAUCUUGCAAAGCCAAGUGGUUGUGGUUAACCUUGAAGUGUUCAGCAAAUGAAAGAUGCUUGCAAUUUGUAGCCUUAGCAUGGCUGAUCAAGUUUGAUAUUGAACCAUAGUGCAACUUGGAUGGUGCUUUUCAGAAUGCCUAAUGGCCAUUUUUCUAGGAAAGACAAAGUUACCAUAAAUUUAAAAAUUUGUAGCCUUAGCAUGGCUGAUCAAGUUUGAUAUUGAACCAUAGUGCAACUUGGAUGGUGCUUUUCAGAAUGCCUAAUGGCCAUUUUUCUAGGAAAGACAAAGUUACCAUAAAUUUAAAAAUGUAUUUACUCUCUAUAUAGAACCACACUGAAAAAUUUCAAGGCUGAGCUAUUUGCCAUCCAUAUUUUGGUAAUUUUGACUGAGACUCCAUUCUGUUUACAGUGACCCACUUGCUAAUGACAGUCAUUGCUUUUGGAUGGCUUGACUUGGACCCAAUGGCCUAACUCAUCUUCUGCCCCUGCAUCUGAGUGCAUAGCACAUGUUUUCUACUUCAGUUGUGUUUGUGCUGAUAUCCGAGAAGGCAGUUGUUAUGUCGAUUGCCAUCUGGUUCUCUGGACACGAGUCUGUCUUCUGCUGAGUAAUAUUAGAUUAUCAGGAAACUACACUUGGAGCCCCUUAGCUGAAACCCUUUCUGAAUUAUGAAUACUUUGAGCUAUACUUUUGCCCAAGGUUUGUUUUUAUAUUACUUCUUAUUAAAAAGAGUAAUGUAAAAUGUCCUUUGUCUGUCUUUGAGACUAUUGCAUGUUACUUCCUUUUGCAGUCCAUAUAUAAAACAAAACGUGAAAAUUUUCUUUAUAGAUGUAAAAACCCUUUGCUUUCUUUGCUAAAGAAUUCAUUUUCAUUUUAUAAAGAAUAAGAGGUAGAUAAUUCACUUGACACAGAGCCAACUUUGGAGAGUAACUUCAGCAGUCUGUCAAGAAAAUUGGUGAGUUAAUUGAAACCUGUUAUGUAUACUAGUAGUUAGCAAACUGUGUGGCUCACUUAACACCUGCCUUUUAAAAUAAGAUGAUACUACAAUGUAGCCAAACUAGUUCUUUCCUUUUUAAGAUUGAUUUUAGUUUUAAUUGUGUGUAUGUGUCUGUCUGUGUAUGGGGAUGUGUAGGUACUGCAGAGACUAGAAAAAGAUGUACUAUCCCCUGGAGGUGGAGUGACAGGCAGUGUUGAGUCACCCAGCUUGGAUGCUGGGAACUGAAUUCAGGUUCUUUGUAAAGCCAGUAUGCAUGGAUCCUUCUAAUGACUGAGACAUCCCUCCAGCCUUUGAGAGUAUCUUUCUGUUCUUUUUUCUUUUUAAAUUAGUUUCUUAAAUAUUGUCUACAGUUGCUUUUGUCUGACAAUGGCAUAUCUAAGUAAUUAAUGUCUGGCCCCUUACUGAAAAUGAUUUCUGGUAAAUGAACCUGGGAUGGUGUGAGUCAGACCAAAGGCAAUAAAGAAGAAAGGCAAUUAGUGUUAGUUGUAGCCAGCUGGGAAAGGCUUCCCAGAUGUGUUGUGAAAAGAAUUUAGUCUUAAGUAGUGGGAGCAUAUAGAGGGUAGUCCAUGUGGGUGACUGUCUCAAAUCAAGUCACUUGGGAGUGAGCAGAUUGUGAGCUCCUGGGACUAUUUGGAAAACUCCUUCACCUGGGUUGGGAUUACAGCUGAGAAAAUGAAGGUGAAUGGCUAACUGUUGAUAGACAGCUCAGAAGCUAGGCAUAGACUUUUACACUUCAUCUGUAAGGCAGCUGAAAACCUUAGAGUUCUCCACAGGCCAAGAUGUAGUAGUAGAAACUGUUUGAGGAGAGCCAAUCAGACAGAGGUACAGGGAGCACACUCCAGCUCUGAGAGCUCCAAGACUGACCAGGUACUGGAGAAAGCCCAGAGGGAAGGAGCGAGUCUCCUAGGGUAAAGGGGGAUAGUAAUGCGGGGCUAGAACCCCAGUGCACUGUGACUGAGUUCAGAGAGUGGUGGUGAGGGGAAACUGAGAGGAAGGUGCACUGCAUGGUUAGUAGCUCUUCUGAGAGGAAGAGCAGGCUUGUUUGGACAGCUGAGGUCUGCUGCCUUUGGAACUCAUAGGGGCGAGUUUGGAAUUGUUGGAAGAUCUGGGACUUAAUGCUAGCUAUGAGUUCCCACUGAGGGACAAGGACAGGCUGAGAGGCUGGGUGUCAGAAAGUACGGAGGAAAGGGGUGCCCUCUGUAGAGAAGUGUCUCAUGUGUGUCUGGGAAAGACUGCCGGGGAGCAGCCACUUCCUUGAUUGCAUGAUCAGAUGCAUGUGUCUCAUAAACUCUGGGUUAAGCAAUGUUAGAUUUCUUGCUUUUGGUCCUCUUAAGUUCUUUAAUAAAUUUAUGUCACUAUUUAUUUCUCUGGUUAAAUCCUUUCCUGGUUUAGAUUCACAUGCCUUGUUUAAAAAU
RNAcentral lists this long non-coding RNA (2879 nucleotides) under Mus musculus (house mouse). RNAcentral's name for it is "long non-coding RNA chr4:88116494-88119373". The record is from RNAcentral. Lineage: Eukaryota; Metazoa; Chordata; Mammalia; Rodentia; Muridae.